AUUGAACGCUGGCGGCAGGCCUAACACAUGCAAGUCGAACGAGUGGCGGACGGGUGAGUAAUGUCUGGGAAACUGCCUGAUGGAGGGGGAUAACGACUGGAAACGGUAGCUAAUACCGCAUACCAUCAGAUUGGCCCAGAUGGGAUUAGCUUGUUGGUGGGGUAACGGCUCACCAAGGAGACGAUCCCUAGCUGGUCUGAGAGGAUGACCAGCAACACUGGCACGGAGAAACGGUCCAGACUCCUACGGGAGGCAGCAGUGGGGAAUCGUGCACAAUGGGCGCAAGCCUGACGUAGCCAUGCCGCGUGUAUGAAGAAGGCCUUCGGGUGGUAAAGUACUUUCAUCGGGGAGGCGUUACCCACAGAAGAAGCACCGGCUAACUCCGUGCCAGCAGCCGCGGUAAUUC
RNAcentral lists this ribosomal RNA (406 nucleotides) under uncultured bacterium. RNAcentral describes it as "partial 16S ribosomal RNA". It matches the Rfam family "Bacterial small subunit ribosomal RNA", at positions 30 to 526 of the family's 1533-position model. The record is from RNAcentral.